RNAcentral lists this long non-coding RNA (769 nucleotides) under Brassica napus (rape). RNAcentral describes it as "long non-coding RNA (BNAP_LNC014192)". The record is from RNAcentral. Lineage: Eukaryota; Viridiplantae; Streptophyta; Magnoliopsida; Brassicales; Brassicaceae.
CUGUAUAUAUCUAUGACAAUAGUUCUGUCGGUUUAAAACUCAACACUGCAAGAAGAAGAAAGAACGAGAAUCAGUGAUUAGCGAAACCAUUCUACAGAAAACAAAACCAAGUCAGUGUUGUGUCCAGAAAAAAAAAACAAUUUAGAAGUAAUUAAGAAACAGGGCCAAGAAGAUAAAAAAGAAAAAAAAGACAAGGAAGACACAAAACAAAUCUGGUUAAUUGAGAAAGAACAUUCUUGGAUGUCAAGUAACAGAUGAAAGAAACAGCAACGAAUCAGAACACACGAACAAGAAUAAAAAAAAACAAUCUGGUUAAUUCCGCAGAAAAAUAAUCAGAUGAGCAUAAAAGAAUCUGGUGAAAACAGAGGAGCAUACAUACCAAACAUGAAUCACCAAUCUGCAUCUGAUAAAAAUUAGGCAGAACAACGAUGAGUCUGAUCAUAAACUAAACAGAGGUGAUCAAAAGAAGAGCAUCAAACAUUAGUAGUAUAAUGAUUUUAAUUCUCCUUGAGAUGCUGCUUCUGUGUAGUUUCUACGAACGGUCUGAUUCGAAGUUUUCAAGACAGUUCUCUGUCGAUCCCAGCGAUUCAGAGAGGAGGAGCUUUUGGCUAUGGCUAACACCACCGAUUGAAAAGAUUUUGAAGAAAAAAAAAGCUUAAAAAUAAAUAUAUUAAUGGAAAUAGAGAGGAGAAGUUAUUCUGAAGUCAAAAUAAAGCCAAACCUUGCGAGGAUGCAAGUACACACAAAGAGAUUUGUUUUCUAUUACUUC